CUCGUUCACAUCACACCUGUACAGGACCUGAAUCAUUUCUUUCUGUUCUUAAAAAAAAGAGAAAAAAAAUCGUUGAAACCACAUGGUGCGAAAAUGUUAAUAAUAAUACACUGGACACGAGCUAACACGUGUUUGGCAUGAAAGGUUAUGUGCAAUCAGGUAUAUAAGGGAAUGAUCUUAUGAAGGUGAUGCUUCAAGUAUACACGUAUGCUGAAGAAAUUGAGGAUAAUCAAAAAGCACGAUUUUUAUAAAGAGAGCUAACCAUCGACAGUAUGGUACAAUUUCACUGUCAUGGAGUUGCUCUCUUUGUGGAUGUCGCUUAAAUCAACAACAAUCAACAACAGCAUCAACAUUUGGUUAUGUAAAAUUUUAAAAUAAGAAUAAAUAUAAAUUUCAUUCUACAGA
Leptopilina heterotoma is the source of this 405-nucleotide long non-coding RNA. RefSeq lists it as uncharacterized. The record is from RefSeq and is a predicted model, not a curated record. Lineage: Eukaryota; Metazoa; Arthropoda; Insecta; Hymenoptera; Figitidae. The transcript is spliced from 3 exons.